ACGGGGGGGGUAAGCGUUGUUCGGAUUUACUGGGCGUAAAGGGCGCGUAGGCGGCGUGUUAAGUCAGCUGUGAAAUCUCCAAGCUUAACUUGGAACGGUCAGCUGAUACUGAUGUGCUAGAGUGCAGAAGGGGCAAUCGGAAUUCUUGGUGUAGCGGUGAAAUGCGUAGAUAUCAAGAGGAACACCUGAGGUGAAGACGGGUUGCUGGGCUGACACUGACGCUGAGGCGCGAAAGCUAGGGUAGCAAACGGGA
RNAcentral lists this ribosomal RNA (253 nucleotides) under uncultured prokaryote. Its description in RNAcentral is "partial 16S ribosomal RNA". It matches the Rfam family "Bacterial small subunit ribosomal RNA", at positions 525 to 777 of the family's 1533-position model. The record is from RNAcentral.